Molecule: ribosomal RNA, 198 nt
Filed under: uncultured bacterium
Lineage: Bacteria
Description: partial 16S ribosomal RNA
Rfam family: Bacterial small subunit ribosomal RNA
Source: RNAcentral
ACGCUCGACACCUACGGGAGGUAGCAGUGGGGAAUAUUGCACAAUGGGGGAAACCCUGAUGCAGCGACGCCGCGUGAGUGAAGAAGUAUUUCGGUAUGUAAAGCUCUAUCAGCAGGGAAGAAAAUGACGGUACCUGAGUAAGAAGCCCCGGCUAACUACGUGCCAACAGCCGCGGUAAUCUGAGCGGGCUGGCAAGGC